AGAGUUUGAUCAUGGCUCAGGACGAACGCUGGCGGCGUGCCUAACACAUGCAAGUCGAACGGAGAAUUUCAAAGAGCUUGCUCUAAGAGAUUUUUAGUGGCGGACGGGUGAGUAACGCGUGGGUAACCUACCCAUAAAGCCGGGACAACCCUUGGAAACGAGGGCUAAUACCGGAUAAUCUUAAGUCUUGGCAUCAAGGCAUAAGGAAAGGUGGCCGAUGAGAAUGCUACCGAUUAUGGAUGGACCCGCGUCUGAUUAGCUGGUUGGUGGGGUAAAGGCCUACCAAGGCGACGAUCAGUAGCCGGCCUGAGAGGGUGAACGGCCACACUGGGACUGAGACACGGCCCAGACUCCUACGGGAGGCAGCAGUGGGGAAUCUUCCGCAAUGGACGAAAGUCUGACGGAGCAACGCCGCGUGUAUGAUGAAGGUCUUCGGAUUGUAAAGUACUGUCUUUGGGGAAGAACGAAGUACUUGAGAAAAUUGAGUACAAAUGACGGUACCCAAGGAGGAAGCCCCGGCUAACUACGUGCCAGCAGCCGCGGUAAUACGUAGGGGGCAAGCGUUGUCCGGAAUUAUUGGGCGUAAAGGGCGCGUAGGCGGAUAAUUAAGUCCGGUGUGAAAGAUCAGGGCUCAACCCUGAGAGUGCAUCGGAAACUGGCUAUCUUGAGGACAGGAGAGGAAA
RNAcentral lists this ribosomal RNA (683 nucleotides) under bacterium enrichment culture clone F11 1.697-8. RNAcentral's name for it is "bacterial SSU rRNA". It matches the Rfam family "Bacterial small subunit ribosomal RNA", at positions 8 to 660 of the family's 1533-position model. The record is from RNAcentral. RNAcentral also lists the same sequence under 3 other names.